CCCCGUCUCUACUAAAAAAUACAAAAAACUAGCUGGGCGAGGUGGCCGGUCCCUGUAGUCCCAGCUACUCCGGAGGCUGAGGCAGGAGAAUGGCGUAAACCUGGGAGGUGGAGCUUGCAGUGAGCUGAGAUCCGGCCACUGCACUCCAGCCCCAGCGACAGAGCGAGACUCCGUCUCAAAAAAAAACCCAAAAAACAAAAACAAACAAACAAAAAUAAAACCACAACAAAACCAAAACAAAACAAAACUUUGUGUCUCCUAAGAAGGGGACCCCUGCUGGGCGUGGUGGCUUACGCCUGUAAUCCCAGCACUUUGGGAGGCCGAGGUGGGCAAAUCACUUGAGGUCAGGGGUUCGAGACCAGCUUGACCAACAUGGUGAAACCCCAUCUCCACUAAAAAUACAAAAAUUAGCCACAUGUGGUUCAAACAAUUCUCCUGCCUCAUCUUCCUGAGUAGCUGGGACUCCAGGUGCCUGCCGCCGCGCCUGGCUACUUUUUGUAUUUUCAGUGGAGUUGGGGUUUUGCCACGUUGGCCAGGCUGGUCUUGAACUCCUGAACUCAGGUGAUCCACCUGCCUCGGCCUCCCAGAAUGCUGGCAUUACAGGCAUGAGCCACCGCACCUGGCCUGUCCUCUCUUUUUAAGAGUCCCAAGUCGCUCUCUCAGCACUCUACCCAAGCACCAGAUUUCUACCUUAAACGCCCUGAUUCUUGGGGAAAUCAGGAGCCCCCUACAAGUCCCUGGGGCCCACCAAUGCCCUUCCUGGGGCUGGGAACAGAACGUCUGACCCUGCUUCCCUCUCUCCCCGGCCCUCACAGAGGAUGACUCAGGCGAGGCGUCAUCUCAGAAUUCUAUGUCCAGCCAUGGAAAGCAGGGGGCUCUCAAGAAGCGGAAGGCGCCUCCACCUCCUGCCAGCAUCCCCAUGCCGUCCCCGGAGGCCAGCUCCCUGCACAGCCUGGAGAGACAGGUGCAAGAGCUGCAGCAGCUGCUGGUGGAGAGACAGGAGGAGAAGGAGAGCCUGGGACGGGAGGUGGAGAGUUUGCAGAGCCGGCUGUCCCUGCUGGAGAACGAGCGGGAGAAUACGAGCUACGAUGUGACCACUCUGCAGGAUGAGGAGGGUGAGCUGCCUGACUUUCCAGGGGCCGAGGCGCUGCUGUCCAGGCAACUCAGCCCGUCGGCCCAGGAACGCCUGGCCUCACUGCAGGAACAGGUGGCUGUGCUCACCAGACAGAACCAGGAACUGAUGGAGAAGGUCCAGAUCCUGGAGAACUUUGAGAAGGACGAGACACAGAUGGAAGUGGAAGCUUCAGCAGAGGUCAUCCCUCUUGCCCUCUAUGACUCUCUCCGGGCCGAGUUUGACCAGCUGCGCAGGCAGCAUGCUGAGGCCCUGCAGGCACUGAGGCAGCAGGAGACAGGAGAGGUCCCCAGAGAAGAGAGGGCAGCCUGUGGGGAGAGUGAGGGUGUUGGAGCCACAGCCACCAAAAACAGACCAACCCACAUGGAGCUAAAUGGCUCAGUGGCUCCAGAAACCAAAGUUAACGGAGCCGAGACCACAGAUGAGAAGGCUGCAGGAGAUGAAACCAUGGAAGCCAGGACUAUGGAAGCCACGUCCAUGGCAGCUGAGGCCACGGGAGCUGAGGCCACAGGAGUCAUGGCCACAGAGACAAAACUCACAGGAGCUGAGGUCAGAGAAAUGGAGACUGUAGAAGAGGAAGCAAACAUGGAAACUAAGCUCACAGGAGCGCAGACCACAGACACAGAGGCCACAGGAAUGGAGGCCACAAAAACAAAAGCAGAGGAAGCAGAAGUGCAGGCCUGCGGAGUGGGUGCUGGGCAACCAGAGCCCCCAGUCACAGGGACCACAAACAUGGAGGCCACAGGCACCACAAACAUGGAGGCCACAGGCUCUAGGGCCACGGGGGUGGAAGCCACAGGAGUCAGUGCCACAGGUGUAGAGAACCCAGGGGUAGAAGCCAUGGCCCUGGGGGUCUCUGCUGGCCCCGUCCUACAUCCUGGUGCCGCAGAGGCCUCGGAAAAGCUUCAAGUAGAGCUGGAGACCAGGAUUCGCGGCUUGGAGGAGGCGCUCCGGCAGCGGGAGCGGGAGGCAGCUGCGGAGCUGGAGGCGGCCCUGGGGAAGUGCGAGGCCGCGGAAGCAGAGGCGGGCCGGCUGCGAGAGCGCGUCCGCGAGGCCGAGGGCAGCGGGGCCAGCGUGGUGGGUGGUGGCAGCGACACCGCACAGCUGCGGGCCGCCCUGGAGCAGGCCCGGGAGGAUCUCCGAGACCGGG
Long non-coding RNA from Rhinopithecus bieti (black snub-nosed monkey), 2282 nucleotides. The record is from Ensembl. NCBI's taxonomy places the organism in Eukaryota, Metazoa, Chordata, Mammalia, Primates, Cercopithecidae.